CCUAACUCAACCCAGACUCCCUAAGGUUGGCAAAAAGGGCAAAGUUUGAGUCAAAACCACGCCCUUCCUUUGAGUUUUAGGGAUGCCCUUAGAAUUCUGGGAGAAACCAAAAGAAACUGCAGUUUCAUCCUCCAGAUGAGGCAAGUCUGUCACUUUCAGUGUUUAUUCAAAUUUCAAACUCAGCCCAACAAACAAAGACAGUCUCCCGGGAGGGGAAGGAAAAGAAGGGCAGAGGAACCCUGAAGUUCUAUUCCACUCAGAACAAAGUGUUGAUGUUGUGAGAUUCCCUAGGAGAGGGAGCAAGAUAGGAAGAAGAUAUUCCAGCCUGCAAAAAGCAUGUGUUCUGGUCUGCUCUCAGCGAGGGCAGUAGCAGAGUGAUAAAGGUCCUGUUCCUGCAAGGCUGGAAAAAGACAAUGACAAGUCAAGUCCAGGCCUGGGCUGGAUAUUGAUCUACUAGGAGACUGUUUCCCGGGAAUAUUAUGCAGCUCAGAAAGGUGAAGAGGGAGGCUCCUACGUGGGGGGACCAGCAGCUUCAGCAGUACCUGAUGUAUGACUGGCGCUCUGUAUUGGAAGCUUAUUGUUGCCAUACAUCUAAGCUACGUCUUCAAUUCUAGCCUUCAACAGUUUAGCAGAUUCUAGAGUCAGAAGAUCUGAGAAGUCCUGCAGUUAAAUAAACUAACUCAGAAUAAGUUCUGGCACCAAACUCCCUGUGUUCAAAUCUGAGUUCUACCAUUUUAUAACUGUGAUUGCAGGAAUCCCUCACUGAAAAGGUGAAGCAAAGAAGGACAUGAAAGAGGCAACAAGUUCCAGGGAAGAUAGCAUUAUGCAGCAGAAGGAGCACUGGAAACUGAGCAGAGGAGCUUUUCAUUCUCUUCUGAAAGGGUAUCACAGGCUUCUUGUGCUUAGGAACACUAGAGAGCACUUCAGCAUUCUGAUUGGAGGCCACCUUAAACAGCGAAAUCACCGACAACCAGCACAAAGAACACAUGGCACUAAAUAGACUGCAAAAGGGAGACUUGUUUAAGAGCUGAAACAAGAAGGCAGAGCGUUGCCUUGUUUACCUCAGCUGGAAAUGUGCACAUUGGACAACUCAAUUUUUUCAUCACUCUGCACGUGGCUGUGAAUGCCCAUGAAAGCACCAGGAGUAUUGAUUUGGGGUUACAAAUAAAUUUUGGUGAGUAAGCCAAUGUGCAAAUAUGGAAUCCAUGAAGAGUGAAGAUGGACUAUACUUGCCCUCUGAGAACCUCAGUAAUGGUACCUCCCUCACACGACACAUUAAAUGACAGAAGGUAUGUAAAAUGCUCCACAUGAUUCCAGGGAGUUCUUUAUACCAAAUAUUUGCAUUUUCACCCUUUGUACCUUAUCUGUCAUGCUCAAUCCUGAGAGACAAGUAGAUACCAAGAAAUUUUCACCAAAUGCACCAUCUUUAUCCCUGGAGCCUAAAUCAAAAACUAUUCAAGCUAGCUCAAGUAGAAAAGGAGAUAUUUUGAACCCAUCUAAAAGGCAAUUGCCUGGGGCACUAAAGUGCAGGGAUCAGCAGAGCCAGCCCACCCUGGGAUCAGACUGUAACAGGAAGAUUAGAAGAAGUGCCAUCUCUCCCAUGGCUGCAGCAUCUGCCAUCCGUAUUUCUCUCUGAGCAUGUGUUACACUUGUCUGCUUUCCUCAGCAGGCAACUUUCCUCUGCUUUCUCUGGCCGCCUUGCACCCUCAGGAUUUUGGCUCAUAUGUGGUUCUGGCUUCCACAGUGCUGAUUCUAGCCUGACUCUAUGUGGCUUGUGCACACCUGUGGUCUUCACCAGUCUAGCACCGUUCUCCCACUUCUGGUAACAGAAGAGCUGACUGCACCUCUCGCUCCAGGGUAGGCCUGUGACCCAGGCCUGGCCAUUGACUCUCUCUCCUGAGAAUUCGAUGCUUUCUUGGUUAUCUUUUAUCACUUCUGUCAUUACUCUGUAUACCUUUUUGCUGCCUCAUGGCUUUUGUUUGCUCAGAGCUCUUGUUUAUUCACGGUUUCUGCUUACUCAUGAAGUCUAAAUAUUGCCUUCUCUCAGCGUCUUUCAGCUUUUGCCUUCACUGACAAUUUUUUUCAUUGUCUCUCUAGUUCUGAUUCCUGAAAGAAAAAAUCAUUGGCACAGUUCAGUGCCAUUUAUUUGGGCAAAACUACCAGGCCAGGAUACACUAUAGGUUGAUGUCCAACCUAUUGAUCAGCUGCUUCUAUUUAAGUACCUGCCAUUGGCCAACAAGCUGUGGGCAGAGUUGUAGGGGUAGGAAGGGUGCAUAUAGUAUUGAAUGUGGUCACCUAUGUUUCAGGAUUUAUAUCAAGCUGGUUAUCCAGACACCUUCUUUUUCUAAUACUCCAAGUCCAAUCUAUGAAGAAAUCCUAUCAGCUCUACUCUCAAAAUAUAUUUAGAAUGUGAUCGCCUCUCACCAGUCCCACUGCUACCACUCUGCUCCAAGCCACACUGCCUCUGACUUGCAUUACUGCAGCAGUCUGCUGAGAGACCACCUGCUUCUCGGCAUAGUCUAUUGCCAACAGAGUUGCCAGAGUGAUUCUUUUAACACCUAAAUCAGGAUCAUUCCUUUGCUUCACGUAUUGCAAGUGUUUCCAUUUCGCUCAGGGCAAGAGCCAAAGUCCUUGCCCCCAGUAUUCUCUGACGUCAUCCUCACCACCUUCCCCCUUGCUCGCUCCACUCCAGCCACACUUGCCUUUCCUCAGAUAUUCCAGGCAUGUUCCCACCAGAGGGCUUGGCUCUAGCUGUCCCAUCUGCCUGAAGCACACUUCUUACCGAUACUGCUUGACUAACUCCUUUAAACCUUUACUCAAAUGUCUCCUUCUUCACAGAGCCUGCCUAACCAACCUAUUUACUACUACAACUGUAGUAUUAAAUGUAGUACAGUAAAUACUGUAGUAUUAAGUACCACAGUUCCCCACAUAGCCAUUCCCUCUUACCCUGCAGUACUUUUCUUGUUCCUGUACGUAUCACUUUCUAACAUACCACGUAAAUUAUGUUUAUUAUUUCUUGCCUGUCUCCCCCUGCUAGAAAGUAAGUUCCACAGAGAGAAAUUAAGUUCCACAAAGAGAAAGUAAGUUCCAAAAAGAGAAAGUAAGUUCCACAAUAUCUUUGUCUAUUUUGUACCUUGAUGUACACUGAGGAUUUAGAACGGGGCCUGGCCCCAUAAAUAUUUGCUGAAUUGAAUUGAAUUUCUUGGUAGGGAGCUAUAAACGUGUAAGUACACUAAGGCUUUCCUAUGCAAUAUAAAAAUAUCUCUUUCAGGGAAAUUUAUAGCACUAAGU
This is a non-coding RNA of Equus caballus (horse), 3291 nucleotides long. Lineage: Eukaryota; Metazoa; Chordata; Mammalia; Perissodactyla; Equidae. The record is from RefSeq and is a predicted model, not a curated record.